Molecule: long non-coding RNA, 1672 nt
Organism: Gallus gallus (chicken)
Lineage: Eukaryota; Metazoa; Chordata; Aves; Galliformes; Phasianidae
Source: Ensembl
AGUUUUAUGGUACACACAGUUCCUUUCAGCUAUGGGGCCCUAGCUUAUGAGCACCGUUUGCCUCAGGAAGUUGAGAACACACGGUGCUACCACAAAUCCAGCUGGAUCUCAAAUUGCCCUCACCUAUGGGCUGGUGGUGGCUCUUGCAGGUGGAGGCCUCACGCCAUGUAAGGACCAACAAGAAGCAGGAAGGACAGACUGGCUUUAGGGCAAGCCAGCAGAUCUGAAGAAUGGGAGCAGGAUGACAGCAUAGUGAUGAUCAAACUCUACUCCCAGUGCUCCAAGAAGCCUCGGAUUAAAAAAAAGAAAACCCAGCCAAAAACCUAGAACCUAAGCAGCUGACAUCGACUGAAGUUUGCCAGGUCUCAGAACAUCUAAUAAAUCCAUAUGAUUGACUUGCUUUUCUAUAAUGAUUCACGUAGCUGAAAUUUGAUCCAUCUUCAGACUUCCUACAAUUCCUCUUCCAUGUGCCCAGAUACAGACAUCAGUUCCUCCUUCCGUAAAUUGUCUGUUGUGAAUGGGAAAGCACACUGGUGAAUUCAGUGCUGGCAUUAAAGAAUAGAAGCCUUUCCUACCCAUGAGCUGCUGCUGCAAACGGUUACAGAGCAGAAUUUAUCAUGAUGCAAGCAAGAUCAUCCUCGGCAGUAAGAAAUGCUAUAUACAGAUGAAGUGGCUCCUGAUGGAUCUGGCAGCUCAAGCACUGACAGAAAGGAUUGGACCCCUUUUUGUGGAAACAACAAGAGAAAAGCUCUGAUUUGGUAUUUAAAUGCUAGAGCUCAAGGGCCUGUCCUUGGGAAGUGCUGACCACUUGAUUUUUGCUGCAGUCAGUUCUUUUUUUCAACACCCUGCACCCAACACCCUCUGUAGACCCAUGGUCUGCCUUAGGGAUUUAUGUCAAAUAUUCUUAUUAGAAACACAGGACAGGAAGGUACCUGACCUACUCAGAACCAUCUUUGAGAAAGUCAUGAAUGGCCUUCAGAGUAGAGCAGGUCAAUGAAAAGGCAGGAAAAGGCAGCAGACCUUCAGGACUGUACUAGAAAUGAAGAGGACAUUUCUCAUUUGGAAUAGAAAUGUACAGAAGUGUCUUAAUAUUACACAGAAAGCAUGGUGGAAAGCUGACACAAGAACCAGAGAGUCUGCUCCCACUGACCUAUUUCAAUGGAACUUUUGACUUAAAGACCCCUUCAGUCGCUAGCAAAGAACAAUAGAUAUUAUUUGUUCAUGAACACAACCACAUGGCAGUAAGAUAAAUAUGCUCUUAACAUUAUAAGCUGAGGUGAUAAAAUCCAAAUCUUAGCCAUAAGAAAAAAUAAAUAAAUAAAGUUGUACAAAACAUUCGUUUGAUCUGAGACAUUUUUAGUACUUUUGGAAAAAGCACAGGGUGAAAACCUACUGUCUGGGACCCAGCCCAUUUAAUACCAGCAGAACAGUCAUUCUACUCAGAGGCGACACCGGGAUGUUUCAGUUCUACAAUUCAUAAUUUUGUAGCAAAUCCUAUAGGAGGCCUCGACAUUUCUGUAGGAACUUCAGUAGCCUUUUCAGAAAAGAUAAUACAAAAGAGGAAAUAAACAAACAAACAAACAAAUAAAUAAAACCCAAUGCUCAUUUACCAGACUGGCUUCUUUUUUGUAGCUUUAACUUUUUUCCCCCGCAGAAAUAAAGCAGUGGUUUG